GUGUUCUAGUGCCGUUAUCCGGUUCUGACCCCAAGCUGGGUGCUGUACCCCUCUCAGAACUGCGGAACGAGUAAGAAGACAAAGCACAGACAGUGCAACCAAGGGGACUUUUACUCUUGGCCCAGAAGAAUGGGAGGAGUCUAGAUAAACUGCAAAUCCCGUCUGUGACCUCUUGGAGGCUGGGAGGCUAUAGCAGGGGUAUAUGGUGAUGUAGAAACAUCAUAUUGGAAGAAUGUGGCAGGACAAAACUACUUGCCUCAUAGCAACCAGACAGCAGAGAGAGAAGGGAAAGAGGCAGACGGGAAUGACUGGUGAGGAGAAAAAUAACAGAAGUAAUGAAAUCAGAAGUUUUUAUGGAUUAAUUGAAUAAACAACACCUCUUUGUACUUUUUGGCACACUGGGAUCCUGAGUGGUGAGAACUGACAGUGGAGUUGGAACCAGCUGAAGAAAGAAAGCAUUUCUCCUAGAUCCAUGUUUAACAAGAAGAAGGAGCGGGCACCAUCCCUUGUCACAUUCUUUGAAAUUAAUCUUUGGAAAGAGAUUCUCAGCCGGAAUUUUGCCUGAGGUUCUUCUUUAGAGAGCUGCUAAGUUAUAGAAAGGUUUAUACUAAGAUGUUUUUAUUUCCUUUUUCCUCGGCGGUAACAAGAAUGAAAAGAUGUGCCUCUGACAGAACACAAGGUGUUGUAUGACUAAUUAGGACACCACACCUCUAUUAGCUUUGGUUAGUCUCACUGGCUCCCAUUAAUUCUAAUAAAUCUGACAUUGCCCAGACUCCUUUCUGCCAGCAUUUAAGGAGGUGAUACGGGAAAGGUGUCCUUUUAAACUUGAGGUGAAUGCCUGUUCCGCCUGUAUCUAAAAACCUACCUUUUAAAUGCAAUGCCCCUGUUGCCAAGGUAGAGGAGACAGGUUCUGUCCAGUGGCCAUUAGGUGGUGCUGCCAACCCACAUUCAGAAGGCCACUUGGAUUCUGCUGCCUUUCCUGUGGUUCUAACGAGAAUAUUACAAGAUUCUUUCACAAAAGGUGAAAGUGGCUGAAAAUUUGCUUUCAC
Molecule: long non-coding RNA, 1049 nt
Organism: Fukomys damarensis (Damara mole-rat)
Lineage: Eukaryota; Metazoa; Chordata; Mammalia; Rodentia; Bathyergidae
Exons: 3
Source: RefSeq, a predicted model, not a curated record